This 496-nucleotide long non-coding RNA is filed under the name Ostreococcus sp. 'lucimarinus'. RNAcentral's name for it is "long non-coding RNA (OLUC_LNC000050)". The record is from RNAcentral. Lineage: Eukaryota; Viridiplantae; Chlorophyta; Mamiellophyceae; Mamiellales; Bathycoccaceae.
CUACGCGCAAUCAAUCAUCAUUACACCGAUCGCUCGCCAAUCUCUCACACACCUAUCCAAUCCAUCGUUUAAAAUCGCGUCGGUCACCGCCGCCGUCGCAGUCCCAGAACCCCUUUCCCCGCGCGUCGCGCCUCUCGCGUCACCGCGCUCGCCACCGCGUCCAGCUCCAACCUCGCCCGCUCGCUCCUCGACCGCGCCACCAUCACCGCCGCGCUCACCACCGCGAUCACCAUCACGCACAGGAUCGUCCUGCGUCAUCGCGCGCGUCCGCGCGUCGGAGUCAGUCUCUCGUCUCGCGUCGCGCGCGCGCGCGUCGUCGUCGUCGUCGUCGCGCGCGCCUGUGUUUCCGUCGGAGCCAUCGCGGGGUGUUCGGCAGGUCGAGCCCGCGCCCGCGCAGCGACUUGACGCUCGACAUCGCGUGCUCGAUGUGCGUCAGCGAAUCGCUUCGACGCAUCGCGCGCGACGACGCGACGCGACGGCGCGACGCGACGGCGCG